Molecule: long non-coding RNA, 1217 nt
Filed under: Homo sapiens (human)
Lineage: Eukaryota; Metazoa; Chordata; Mammalia; Primates; Hominidae
Description: non-protein coding lnc-MELK-3:1
Source: RNAcentral
UGGCUGACAAGGAGCUGAUCUUGGGUCCUGAAGAAAGGAAUGGAUGGAUCUUGGCCCAGGACAGCUGCUGUGAAAGGUCCCUUUAGACGAGAGAAGCCACACCCAUUCACUUACUGGACCCAGGCUGGUGGUGGAGUCAUAAAAGUGGCCCUGGACCCAGAAGAGGAGGCCAUGCCCAGACGCACUACCAUCAGCCAGGGGCGUUGAGAUUCCGUCCCAGGACAAUGAUCAUCAGCCUGACUUCCGAUUCUGAUUCAGGGAGUUAAUGGCAAAGCUGAGACUGGAGGCUGGGCCACUGGACCUUUCUACAAGAUCCUUCCAGUCUCUCCUUGAUCUUGACUUUGUUAACAUUUUAACUCUUUCAUAACUGUUUGCAGAGGAUCAGAAAGACAGAGCCCACACUGUGUGCCUGGGCUUGUGCCCCUUGCAGAUACGGGUGGUCCUGCAGGCAACAUGAUCUUCUCAGGGCACUUUGAGUGGACUUCGGGUCAGAGGGAACAACGCUGGCUAACGGGGCUGUUACUCUGUACUGGGCCCUGGGCCAGAUGCUUCAUGUGCAUUAACUCACUGGAUCCUCACAACAGUAUCCCCACUGUGCAGAUGAAAACGCCGAGGCACAGAGAGGUUAUGUAAUUUGCCCAUGGUCACACAGCUAGUGAGUGGUGAAGCCAGGAUCAAACCCAGGCAGUCUGGCGCCUCAGCCUGAGCUCUUCCCAUCACUCCAGAGAGCCUGUGCCAGGUCUUGGGAAACAGGCAGGGAAUAGUCUGUUGAUGUUUCCUGGGUGCCCUGCUGCCACUGCCCUGGCUCAGCCCACAUCUCUCGCACCUGACCGCAUUCCAGCCUCUCCACUGAGUACCAUGGCUGUAGCGUAGCCCACCCAACCAUCCGCUACUCCCGCCUGCAGGACCAUGCCAACACAGAGAGCCUCCUGACACGACACUCCCGUUGUUCCUCCCCAGCCCUCUUUAAUGGCUCCCAAUUGUCUGAUUUCUGGGUGUUCCCAACCCAUCUAGUCUGAUCUCCCACCACACCUUUCAUGGAUCCUGACAGCCAAACAAGGAUUUACCAACUUGUUCAUACAACACUUUUCCCACCUUCCAGCCUUUAUCCAAGCUGUUCUUCCUGCCUGGAAUGCCUGUUCUCACCCGCCCAUGGCUCUUUCAUGACUGCUUCCCAGGCCCUGUGCUUGGCAGGUGCUCACCAACGGGAUACUAUG